GUGGGGAAUAUUGGACAAUGGGGGGAACCCUGAUCCAGCCAUGCCGCGUGUGUGAAGAAGGCCUUUUGGUUGUAAAGCACUUUAAGCGAGGAGGAGGCUACCGAGAUUAAUACUCUUGGAUAGUGGACGUUACUCGCAGAAUAAGCACCGGCUAACUCUGUGCCAGCAGCCGCGGUAAUACAGAGGGUGCAAGCGUUAAUCGGAUUUACUGGGCGUAAAGCGCGCGUAGGUGGCCACUUAAGUCAAAUGUGAAAUCCCCGAGCUUAACUUGGGAAUUGCAUUCGAUGCUGGUUGGCUAGAGUAUCGGAGAGGCUGGUAGAAUUCCAGGUGUAGCGGUGAAAUGCGUAGAGAUCUGGAGUAAUACCGAUGGCGAAUGCAGCCAUCUGGCCUAAUACUGACACUGAGGUGCGAAAGCAUGGGGAGCAAACAGGAUUAGAUACCCGAGUAGUCC
Molecule: ribosomal RNA, 451 nt
Filed under: uncultured bacterium
Lineage: Bacteria
Description: partial 16S ribosomal RNA
Rfam family: Bacterial small subunit ribosomal RNA
Source: RNAcentral